This 329-nucleotide unclassified non-coding RNA is filed under the name soil metagenome. RNAcentral describes it as "partial contains 5.8S ribosomal RNA, internal transcribed spacer 2, and large subunit ribosomal RNA". The stretch from base 1 to 120 matches the Rfam family "5.8S ribosomal RNA", at positions 35 to 154 of the family's 154-position model. The record is from RNAcentral.
GAUGAAGAACGCAGUGAAAUGCAAUAAGUAAUGUGAAUUGCAGAAUUCAGUGAAUCAUCGAAUCUUUGAACGCACAUUGCGCCCCCUGGUAUUCCGGGGGGCAUGCCUGUCCGAGCGUCAUUACAACCCUCAAGCUCAGCUUGGUGUUGGGCCCCGCCGCCCCGGCGGGCCCUAAAGUCAGUGGCGGUGCCGUCCGGCUCCGAGCGUAGUAAUUCUUCUCGCUCUGGAGGUCCGGUCGUGUGCUCGCCAGCAACCCCCAAUUUUUUUCAGGUUGACCUCGGAUCAGGUAGGGAUACCCGCUGAACUUAAGCAUAUCAAUAAGCGGAGGA